This 510-nucleotide ribosomal RNA is filed under the name uncultured bacterium. RNAcentral describes it as "partial 16S ribosomal RNA". It matches the Rfam family "Bacterial small subunit ribosomal RNA", at positions 28 to 507 of the family's 1533-position model. The record is from RNAcentral.
GACGAACGCUGGCGGCGUGCUUAACACAUGCAAGUCGAACGAAGAGCGAUGGAAGCUUGCUUCUCUCAAUCUUAGUGGCGAACGGGUGAGUAACGCGUAAUCAACCUGCCCUUCAGAGGGGGACCACAGUUGGAAACGACUGCUAAUACCGCAUACGAUCUAAUCUCGGCAUCGAGGAUAGAUGAAAGGUGGCCUCUACAUGUAAGCUAUCACUGAAGGAGGGGAUUGCGUCUGAUUAGCUAGUUGGAGGGGUAACGGCCCACCAAGGCGAUGAUCAGUAGCCGGUCUGAGAGGAUGAACGGCCACAUUGGGACUGAGACACGGCCCAGACUCCUACGGGAGGCAGCAGUGGGGAAUCUUCCGCAAUGGACGAAAGUCUGACGGAGCAACGCCGCGUGAGUGAUGACGGCCUUCGGGUUGUAAAGCUCUGUUAAUCGGGACGAAAGGCCUUCUUGCGAAUAGUGAGAAGGAUUGACGGUACCGGAAUAGAAAGCCACGGCUAACUACGUG